RNAcentral lists this transfer-messenger RNA (79 nucleotides) under Jannaschia sp. CCS1. RNAcentral describes it as "transfer-messenger RNA Janna_sp_CCS1". It matches the Rfam family "Alphaproteobacteria transfer-messenger RNA", at positions 40 to 119 of the family's 355-position model. Rfam says of the family: Bacterial tmRNA, also known as 10Sa RNA or SsrA, is named for its dual tRNA and mRNA-like properties. Its role is to liberate the mRNA from a stalled ribosome. Lineage: Bacteria; Pseudomonadati; Pseudomonadota; Alphaproteobacteria; Rhodobacterales; Roseobacteraceae. The record is from RNAcentral.
GUUCCUUCGGGAGCUAUGGACAUAAACGCGCUCGUAAUAAGCGGAUCGGACCCGGGGGCGGUACCCGGCGACUCCACCA